Long non-coding RNA from Momordica charantia (bitter melon), 2828 nucleotides. RefSeq lists it as uncharacterized. NCBI's taxonomy places the organism in Eukaryota, Viridiplantae, Streptophyta, Magnoliopsida, Cucurbitales, Cucurbitaceae. The record is from RefSeq and is a predicted model, not a curated record.
UUUCCCUCCCACCCCAAACAAUCAAACCAUUGUCUUCUCUCUCUCUUUUGGUUCGUAGUUUCUCUUCUCAUCUACAACGUAUCUCCUCUCUCUUGGUAGCGUACGACAAAGACUGACAACGAACGAUGACGAACCCAAGAGCAUUCCUUUGAGCCGCGAACUUUGGCAGCCGCUUCACUGAGCAAUUGUUUGAGUGGCGAUUCUUCAAGGUGAGUCUUGAGCGGCUAUUUCUCGACCUCCACAACGAUUCUCCAAGGUGAGACGCCACCUAUCUCAAGUCAUUUCAUCACUAUGUUCUGGUUGUUUCAGAUUUGUCACAAGAAAAUGUGUGUGUUUAUUGAUAUUGAGAAACUUCACCAUAAACCCAUAGAGAUUCUCACCGACAAGGCCGACAUUGUCGUCCUCCAAAAGGUUAAAGAUAAUUAAUGAUGACGGCACAAGUGGGUCUCAGUUACUUUUCCUCCUCUUCCCAUUCUUCUUUGCUUCGUCCUUCACAUUUUUCCUUUGGCAAAUGCUGAUCAUUUGCUGGUGAGUUCGAUUAGGUGCAUAACACAAUUCUUUCUUUUUCUCGAAUUUAUAGCUUUCUUUCAAUUUCGGGUUCAAUUGGCCUGGCCCUCUCUGUUAUCUUGUGUUCUUUCGUUCUAAAUUCAAGUUUGAGGGUUUGUUAUGUGAGGUAUUUGGGGGCUUCUAGCCUUGUACAUUGUCCUAUAAAUGCCCUAAUUUAGAGCGCUGUUAGCGAAUUUUUUCUUGUUUUGUUUGAGAUUUUUUUUUUUUUUUUUGAUUUGGGUAUGUCAGGAUACCAUAGAUUCCUAGUUUAUCUCUCCAAGUUUUAGUUGCUAAUACUUUAUUUAUACAUCGUUACUGCUAUUAAUUGCAUUUUUGUUCUAUCUAAGGAAGUUGAUUGCCAGAUUGUUGUUCAUUUCAAGUAUUCAAUUGCUGAUAUUCUUAGUGUCAAUGGAGUAUUUCUAGGUUAGUUUGAUAGUGAUGAACUUUCUAAUCAAUCAAAAGUCUUUACGUAUUUUAUGAGUUUAAAGGAUGUUUUUGACCAUUGAAGUGGAAGGGUAGGACUUAGGAGAUAGUUUAAAGUUCGCAACUUACAAUUUGUAUUUGAAAUAUAUGUAGUGUCUUUGAUGCCGGAUGCUAUGGAAAUUAUAUUCCAAAAGGCACUUGAUCUUGGGAGAAGUGGUGCUGUAAGCAAACUUCACUAUCACUAUUAUUAUUAGUAGUAGUAGUAUUGGUUGAAUUAUAAAUUUAGUCUUCAAUUGUACUAAUUUAGAUCUUGAGCUUAAAAAAAUUUAAGUAUAUUAUUAAACUUUAUAUGAUGAUUAUAUGAAGUCCUUGCUGUUAACAUUGCCCUAAUUUAGCCAUUACAAAAGCUAUUAGAAGGCAGUCCCUCAAUGAGUAAUUAAAAGGGAAAAGGCCUUAAAUGGGCAAAUUGUACAGCUCUACGUAUUUACCUCUCUAACUCCACCUCCUUGAAUAAUACUAAUGCUGAUCCCAAGUCAUUUCUUCCAAGAUAUUUGGAAUGAUUCAAAUGGUAAUUGCAUAUCAUGAAAUGUGCAUCAUCCAUUGUCAUCUCAAGAACAAACCUUCCUUUUUAUUUUUCAUUUGACUGUGCAAGAUAAUUUCUAAGGUGUGUUUGGUCUCCUUUCUAGAUGAUUUUUGUUUCUCAAAUAGACUUCUAUUAACUUUUUGUUUACUCCUCUAUUUUCUGUCAUCUUUCAAUUAUCACAUUUACUUUAUGUCCUGUUUAUUUUCCUUUUGUUUCUUUUUUUUUUUGGAGUAUUUUUUUAUACAUGACUUCUUAUUGAGAUUAUUGAGAUUGACAUUUACUCUAUUUUAUGAAUGACAUGUUUUAAUCUAUGUGUUUUAUCUCUUAAUGCUCGUUGGAUAUUGUUGCUAGAUGUUUCUCUAUGAAUGUUGGAUGUUCUGGAUGACUAUGAUUGAUUCUAGUUGUUUAUAAUUGUUUGACUAUGCUCUGUUAUGACUACAAUCACUGUAAAGCAUUACAUUUUGAAUGGAAAUAAAUAGUUAUUGUUUUGUCUAAAUUUUUUCUUUUUGGCAAGACAAAUUAGCAAAAUGAUGAUAUUUAGGUGAUUCAAUCAAAGAUGAUCAAUGAAGCACAAUGGCAAUGGAUAAACAAAUUGCUACUUAUAACUAACUUCUUUAAUGGGACCAAAUUUCAAGAUUAGUAUUAGGAACGAGAAGCUGUCAGGUUUCUCUAUGUUGCCAAACCGCAUCCAGAUGAACUUAAGCUUCUUGUGGCCAUUUCCAUCUUAAUUCCAAUAGAACAAAGGUAAGCUAUUAACUGUUGUGAUCAUCAUUCAUACUAUGACAUUGAAAUCUUAAAUCAAUCUGAAUGGGUCAUAUUAUAUGUUGUAACUAUAGCUAAAUUACCACAUUUAUCAGAUUAUUGGAUCAGUUCAGAAAAUAGUUUUGAAUUUGAUUAUUGACAGACUCGUUAGAUGAUGAUUGUUUUGAAUCAUUGUGAUAUACGAUUAGCUUGUGCUAUAUUGAUUAUUGAUAUUUUGUGCUACGUUACUAAAGAAUGUAGAAGAAGUGUACGCAUGUUGUUUAUUUCAAUCGCUUAUGUUCUGUUGGGAUCUUUAUUGGUUAUUCAUUUAUCUAACAUGGGUAUUGUUUUCCUCAUUACGUCUUUCACGAACUCAAAGAAGUCAAGAUUAGGAUUGCAACAAAUUGAUGAAUGGACAUCUUUGUUGGGUUAGUGUCUGAGACAUAUGUUCCAUUAUGUAUGUGUACUUGGUAUGUGUAAAGAAUAUUGUAUCAUACUUUGUUCAUAUAUGAAUGUUCAAGUUUGUUAUAUAAAA